This 379-nucleotide ribosomal RNA is filed under the name Streptococcus constellatus. Its description in RNAcentral is "bacterial SSU rRNA". It matches the Rfam family "Bacterial small subunit ribosomal RNA", at positions 92 to 466 of the family's 1533-position model. Lineage: Bacteria; Bacillati; Bacillota; Bacilli; Lactobacillales; Streptococcaceae. The record is from RNAcentral.
UGAGUUGCGAACGGGUGAGUAACGCGUAGGUAACCUGCCUGGUAGCGGGGGAUAACUAUUGGAAACGAUAGCUAAUACCGCAUAAGAACAUUUACUGCAUGGUAGAUGUUUAAAAGGUGCAAGAGCAUCACUACCAGAUGGACCUGCGUUGUAUUAGCUAGUUGGUGAGGUAACGGCUCACCAAGGCAACGAUACAUAGCCGACCUGAGAGGGUGAUCGGCCACACUGGGACUGAGACACGGCCCAGACUCCUACGGGAGGCAGCAGUAGGGAAUCUUCGGCAAUGGGGGGAACCCUGACCGAGCAACGCCGCGUGAGUGAAGAAGGUUUUCGGAUCGUAAAGCUCUGUUGUUAAGGAAGAACGUGUGUGAGAGUGGAA